UGGCCGUGAUGACACAAAGGCCGGUCUUACGGCUGCUACUGCUCCUUGGGUUGGUAGUAGGAUGAUGUAAGUUGCUAUAAGGUGUUCGUGCUGAGCCAG
Molecule: small nucleolar RNA, 99 nt
Filed under: Theobroma cacao (cacao)
Lineage: Eukaryota; Viridiplantae; Streptophyta; Magnoliopsida; Malvales; Malvaceae
Description: Small nucleolar RNA snoR113
Rfam family: Small nucleolar RNA snoR113
Source: Rfam by way of RNAcentral